CAUAAAGUGAUCUAGGGUUCCGGCAGUUAUUUGGGCAGUUAUUUGCAAAAAUACUGUGUCUGAGACCGAGAGUUCACGGCUUAGUUUUGAUAAAAACAGAGCUACACGGAGGGAUAAAAGCCCGGGAGGU
RNAcentral lists this small RNA (130 nucleotides) under Acinetobacter sp. RNAcentral's name for it is "Guanidine-I sequence". It matches the Rfam family "Guanidine-I riboswitch aptamer". Rfam says of the family: This family represents a conserved RNA structure found upstream of the ykkC and yxkD genes in Bacillus subtilis and related genes in other bacteria. The function of this family is unclear although it has been suggested that it may function to switch on efflux pumps and detoxification systems in response to harmful environmental molecules. The record is from RNAcentral. Lineage: Bacteria; Pseudomonadati; Pseudomonadota; Gammaproteobacteria; Moraxellales; Moraxellaceae.